UCACACGUGCUACAAUGGUUGGUACAACGAGUUGCGAGUCGGUGACGGCGAGCUAAUCUCUUAAAGCCAAUCUCAGUUCGGAUUGUAGGCUGCAACUCGCCUACAUGAAGUCGGAAUCGCUAGUAAUCGCGGAUCAGCACGCCGCGGUCGAAUACGUUCCCGGGCCUU
Molecule: ribosomal RNA, 168 nt
Filed under: uncultured Streptococcus sp.
Lineage: Bacteria; Bacillati; Bacillota; Bacilli; Lactobacillales; Streptococcaceae
Description: partial 16S ribosomal RNA
Rfam family: Bacterial small subunit ribosomal RNA
Source: RNAcentral